Molecule: long non-coding RNA, 1394 nt
Filed under: Lactuca sativa (garden lettuce)
Lineage: Eukaryota; Viridiplantae; Streptophyta; Magnoliopsida; Asterales; Asteraceae
Description: long non-coding RNA (LSAT_LNC005764)
Source: RNAcentral
UCUUGUUUACCUGGUCCUCUGCCUUCAUUCGUGGAAAUAAACCACAAAUUCGAUCUAAUUCUCCCACAUCCCUUCUCUAUUCAAUGCACUCUCUCCCGAUUAUCUCAAAAAAACCUAAAACCUAAUACCUACUGCUUCCCCACCUCCACCUUCUUCGUCACAGUCUCCUUCAACAAAAACGAAAACCAAGCACCACUAACGCUUCUCAUUACCACCCCCCUUAAAUUUCGAUGACUACGUCACCGUCACCAUCAUAGCAGCACCGCCGCUGCCAUCGUGACCCACUACAACCCUCACCCAUUCUCUCUCUUAAAAAUUGAUGGAGACGAAAAAGGCUGGAUAGAAGCUUAAACAACAAAGCUUAUUCUCUUACCCAGUGGCUACAAAAUCGACUUGCUGCUAUGAUACUUACUUUACAAUCAUCAAAUGAACAAGAACUGUUAAACUGGUAAGCAUCUUCCCAUUGGUUAAUUAUUUUACUUUUGAUUUCUCAUAGUUUUUUUCCCAACUUAGGUUCGAGCUUUUCUAUGGUACUUAUUUACGCUUCUUGAAUAUAUGCUUUUUUGAAUAAUAGCUUUCCCAGGUGUGAAGAUUUAUCUGGAUCUUUUGAUCGACGUGGUUCUCAGAUUUGUCAUUCCACCCAUGGUCUUUCUCGCUUUCUCCCUCUUUUUUCUUUCGCUGAAAACCACCACCCUUUCUUUCUCUAUCUAUCUUUUUUUGUUUCUCUCUAAGAAAAAACCUAAAUGUAUGUGUGUUUAUAGGUCGUGGGAUGAAACCAUAUGAAAAUCCUUGGCUAGAGGUUAGUUUUUUUUUUUUUUUUUUUUUUCAGUAACCUUCUAUUUUCUUCAAUGUUCUUGAAGUGUAUUUGAGGGGGAAAUGAAAGAUAUUUACUUUACAAUCAUCAAAUGAACAAGAACUGUUAAACUGGUAAGCAUCUUCCCAUUGAUUAUUUAUUUGACUUUUGAUUUCUCAUAGGUUUUUUUCCCAAAUUUCUCAGGUUCGAGAUUUGUUGGGAAAAGUUAUCUCAGGUGAAGGUAAAUCUCCUCCUGAAGCUUCUAUUUACUUAAAAUUGUCUACAAUUCAGAAAAAGGUGGUGUUUUUAAUUAAUCUGAUGUAAAAAAACACUUUAAUUUGCUCAUGUUUUAGUUAAUUGGGUUUUGUAUACAAUAUUUUAGUUUUAAAUAAUGAGUUAAACUGUUAUUUUGCAGCUGUUAUAGAUAUUGCUUCAAAGAAAGGCCUUCAAGUAAAGGCAUUGUUUUACAUCUUAAGACAAUAUCUCAAGUCUUUAUGUUUCCUCUUGAACCCAUUGAUUUGUAAUGUUAUAAUGAAGUUGAGUCUUAUUUUGACAUUUGUUUGUAGGGAUUGUUUUCUGCAAGUUGUUUGAUUGGAUUUGG